Molecule: unclassified non-coding RNA, 88 nt
Organism: Colobus angolensis palliatus
Lineage: Eukaryota; Metazoa; Chordata; Mammalia; Primates; Cercopithecidae
Rfam family: Y RNA
About the family: Y RNAs are components of the Ro ribonucleoprotein particle (Ro RNP), in association with Ro60 and La proteins.
Source: Ensembl
GGCUGGGCCCAGUGCAGUAGUGUUUAUAACCAGUUACAGAUUUCUUUGUUUAUUCUCCACUAUCACUGUUUCACUUGACUAGCCUUAA